RNAcentral lists this ribosomal RNA (254 nucleotides) under uncultured bacterium. RNAcentral describes it as "partial 16S ribosomal RNA". It matches the Rfam family "Bacterial small subunit ribosomal RNA", at positions 524 to 776 of the family's 1533-position model. The record is from RNAcentral.
UACGUAGGGUGCGAGCGUUGUCCGGAAUCAUUGGGCGUAAAGAGCUCGUAGGCGGUUCGGCAAGUCGGAUGUGAAAUCUCCACGCUCAACGUGGAGGGGCCAUUCGAAACUGCCGUGACUCGAGUCCGGUAGGGGAGUGCGGAAUUCCCGGUGUAGCGGUGAAAUGCGCAGAUAUCGGGAGGAACACCAGUGGCGAAGGCGGCACUCUGGGCCGGAACUGACGCUGAGGAGCGAAAGCGUGGGGAGCGAACAGG